This is a non-coding RNA of Paramormyrops kingsleyae, 1802 nucleotides long. The record is from RefSeq and is a predicted model, not a curated record. Lineage: Eukaryota; Metazoa; Chordata; Actinopteri; Osteoglossiformes; Mormyridae.
UUAAUUAUCUGCUGGCUGUCAGUAUAGAUCGAUUACCGAGAACAUCUUAACUCUAAUUACAAAACACGCGCUUGUAAAACCAUGUUGCCAAGCAGAUGAGACUUGAUUUGAUCAACAGACCUUAUUAAAUGAUCAAACCCGUUGCACACCGGAAACACCUGAGUAUUUAUCUGGGAUAAGAGGGCUAAUGUUGCUCAAACAGGGCAAAGUCAUGCAGUGCUGAGUGCAUCCACAACCCCCCUCGGGCUCCCCAUGCACGGACACACCCAGGCCGGCGUAACCUGCGGUCUCCGCAAACAGCCUGUAACGCCUCGCUGGUUAUCAUACACACUGAACCAGGAACAGGCAGCCACUCAGGAUCCGCACGGAAAGACUUUCUAGGACAUGGAGACUUCAUUGAAGAUAGAGGACAGUAAUCCCCCAGCAAAGACUGAGAUGUGGUGGGGCACCUUGGGUACAGUCCGGCCUUUCCCUGGCUUUAAUCCUCAGAAGGAUGCCCAAGAAAUCAAGACUGCUCUGGAGAAAAAAGAUGGGAACACCCUGGUGAGGAUCCUGACCAACCGCACCAAUGCACAGAGACAGCUCAUCGCUCGGGCCUACCACAACCUCACGGGGAAGGACAUGAGUUUCACUCUGAAGAAAUGCUUGUCAGGGGCUCUGCAGGACCUGAUGCUGGGGCUCGUGAUGACUCCCUCACAGUUUGAUGCCCACCGCCUCCGGCAGGCCAUGGAGGGCCUGGGUACAGAUGAGGAGGCCUUACUGGAGGUGCUGUGCACCAGAUCAACAGAGCAGCUCAAAGACAUUACUGUCGCCUAUAAGCAGGAGUUUGAUCGAUACCUGGAGAAUGAUCUGAUCAGUGAGACCAGCAAAGACUUCACCACGCUGCUUCUGGCCAUUCUUAAGAAACAGCGGGAGAACCAGCAGGGAGUAAUUGAUUAUGAGCUCAUCGAUGGAGACGUCAAUACUUUGACUGAUGCCUUCAGCAGUAAGAAAGUUGACAUUGCGCCUUGGAUCAAGGUGCUCACCACGCGUGAUGCAGAACACCUUAAUAGAGUGUUGUCCAAGUGGGAGCGUGUUCAGGGGGUUCUUGUGGAAAAAGUGAUACAAAAUCACUUCUCUGGGGAUCUGAAACUGGGGUUCCGCAUUCUAGUGCAGUCCAUCCAGAACAGCCCUCUGUACCUGGCGCAACGUCUGCAGACCUCCAUGAAGAAGAGUUCUGUGGUACGGGGCAUUCUGGUGUCGCAUUGUGAGGAAGACCUGCUCAGCAUUAGGGUGGAGUUCCGUCGGCUGGCUGGACUCUCCCUCUACUCAGCCCUGCAGGAAGUGUACAACCUUCAGCUCUCCUUUCUACUUUGAGUCAUCUACUUCAUUUGAUGAAACAAUGGCGGCAACAUGUUUCCAUGCAGAAAGAUUUCAAAGGAGAACUUCAGCAGGCCUUUCUAGCCUUGUGUGGAGCUGAAGACUUAUAGACUUCCUGAGAUGUAUUUGGUCCAUUUCAACUGGUUUAAAUGCCUAGAAUCAAUUCCUCUAACAAACUCCUACCUCCAGUGUGUGUAUAGGGGAAAGUCUGACCAACUCUGUGAACAUAAGCGCACGGCACAGGUAGAGUGGACAUUGGUAAACUGGGACAGCUUAAUAGACCACAGGAGCAUGAAGAGUAUAACUGUCCCAGUUUUCCCUUUGUCCUACUCUAGGUCGAAAUGGGAUAUUAUUAAGGGAUUCUGCCUCUUUUGAGGGUAGAUGUGAGUACUGAGGUAAAGAGACACAAAUGAAAGCCUUUCAAUAAACAAAUAUAAAACAAA